Molecule: unclassified non-coding RNA, 377 nt
Filed under: uncultured Actinomycetes bacterium
Lineage: Bacteria; Bacillati; Actinomycetota; Actinomycetes
Description: uncultured actinobacterium contains 16S-23S intergenic spacer region
Source: RNAcentral
UCACUACUUGCGUAGGCAGUCUCCCUAGAGUGCCCAGCAUAACCUGAUGGCAACUAAGGGCGAGGGUUGCGCUCGUUGCGGGACUUAACCCAACAUCUCACGACACGAGCUGACGACAGCCAUGCACCACCUGUAUACCGACCUUGCGGGGGCUACAUCUCUGCAGCUUUCCGGCAUGUGUCAAACCCAGGUAAGGUUCUUCGCGUUGCAUCGAAUUAAACCACAUGCUCCGCCGCUUGUGCGGGCCCCCGUCAAUUUCUUUGAGUUUUAGCCUUGCGGCCGUACUCCCCAGGCGGGGUACUUAAUGCGUUAGCUACGGCACGGAUCCCAAGGAAGGAAACCCACACCUAGUACCCACCGUUUACGGCGUGGACUAC